GGCGACACCGCGCGGAACCGAAGCCGUUCUCAGUUCGGAUCGGAGUCUGCAACCCGACUCCGUGAAGCUGGAUUCGCUAGUAAUCGCGCAUCAGCCAUGGCGCGGUGAAUACGUUCCCGGGCCUUGUACACACCGCCCGUCACACCAUGAGAGUUGAGAAUACCCGAAGCCCAUGUCAAAGUGGUCGAAGGUAGGCUUGAUGAUUGGGGUGAAGUCGUAACAAGGUAAC
This 229-nucleotide ribosomal RNA is filed under the name uncultured bacterium. RNAcentral's name for it is "partial 16S ribosomal RNA". It matches the Rfam family "Bacterial small subunit ribosomal RNA", at positions 1256 to 1500 of the family's 1533-position model. The record is from RNAcentral.